UACGGAGGGUGCAAGCGUUAUCCGGAUUCACUGGGUUUAAAGGGUGCGUAGGCGGAUUGGUAAGUCCGUGGUGAAAUCUCUAAGCUUAACUUGGAAACUGCCAUGGAUACUAUUAGUCUUGAAUAUUGUGGAGGUUAGCGGAAUAUGUCAUGUAGCGGUGAAAUGCGUAGAUAUCAAGAGGAACACCUGCGGCGAAGGCGGGUUGCUGGGCUGACACUGACGCUGAGGCGCGAAAGCGUGGGGAGCAAACAGG
RNAcentral lists this ribosomal RNA (253 nucleotides) under uncultured bacterium. RNAcentral describes it as "partial 16S ribosomal RNA". It matches the Rfam family "Bacterial small subunit ribosomal RNA", at positions 524 to 776 of the family's 1533-position model. The record is from RNAcentral.